Cinara cedri is the source of this 532-nucleotide non-coding RNA. Lineage: Eukaryota; Metazoa; Arthropoda; Insecta; Hemiptera; Aphididae. The record is from the annotation of a GenBank genome assembly.
ACCUAGAUACCUAUACUUAUACUUAGAACAGAGUACUUACUCAUAGUAUUAAAUUAUUGUACAAGAUUAAUAUCUAAAGUUUAAACAUAUCGUAUAAUUGUGUCAAGUGUGGAAGGACAUCAAAUGAUGGCGUAUCUCUUUAUGAGUGAGUAAUAUUUUGUUUUAUUUUUUUCAUUUAAAUUCUCAAAGAAUUAUUUUCACACCAAUAAUCAAAUUAGUUUCAUUAAGUACAAUCAAAAUUACACACUUAUAUUGAUAAAUUUCAGGUUUCCAGAAGCGGUAGACUGUUGUAAUGAAUGGAUCAAAAUUUUAGGUUUAAAAUUAUGUAAACCAUCAGAUGUUAUGUUAUGCAGUGACCAUUUCACUGUAGACGAAUUCAAGACGAAUUCUGAAACAAAAAAUGCUUGAUUAGUACCACUGCACCGUUUGGCAUUGGAUUUAAAUAAACGUUUUAUAUAAAAGAUUUUAUCAUUAAGUAGCAUAAAUAACUUUAUGAAUUUGUCUGUGUAAAUAAGUGUUUGUAUCUUUUAUA